RNAcentral lists this ribosomal RNA (254 nucleotides) under uncultured Comamonas sp. RNAcentral's name for it is "partial 16S ribosomal RNA". It matches the Rfam family "Bacterial small subunit ribosomal RNA", at positions 524 to 776 of the family's 1533-position model. Lineage: Bacteria; Pseudomonadati; Pseudomonadota; Betaproteobacteria; Burkholderiales; Comamonadaceae. The record is from RNAcentral.
UACGUAGGGUGCAAGCGUUAAUCGGAAUUACUGGGCGUAAAGCGUGCGCAGGCGGUUUUGUAAGACAGUGGUGAAAUCCCCGGGCUCAACCUGGGAACUGCCAUUGUGACUGCAAGGCUAGAGUACGGCAGAGGGGGGAUGGAAUUCCGCGUGUAGCAGUGAAAUGCGUAGAUAUGCGGAGGAACACCGAUGGCGAAGGCAAUCCCCUGGGCCUGUACUGACGCUCAUGCACGAAAGCGUGGGGAGCAAACAGG